Molecule: unclassified non-coding RNA, 185 nt
Filed under: uncultured Amphinema
Lineage: Eukaryota; Fungi; Basidiomycota; Agaricomycetes; Atheliales; Atheliaceae
Description: sequence contains ITS2
Source: RNAcentral
CAUCCUCAAACCUUCUUGGUUUCUUGACUGAGAAGGCUUGGACUUUGGAGCGUGCUGGCCUGAGGUCGGCUCCUCUUUAAAUGCAUCAGCGGAAGUCCAUUGACGUCUCCCGUCGGCGUGAUAAUCCUGUUACGCCGCCAGGGUCUCGUUGGGGCUCGCUUAUAAUCGUCUUUGGACAACAUCCU